UGAAUAUUCGAAUCGAUGAAUGCUCGAGAAUUAAUUAAAGUUUCGAGUAUCUUGAUUUCGUCUAUUUGAAUAGGAAGAUCUGGUGC
Hibiscus syriacus is the source of this 86-nucleotide small nucleolar RNA. RefSeq annotates it as small nucleolar RNA snoR64a. NCBI's taxonomy places the organism in Eukaryota, Viridiplantae, Streptophyta, Magnoliopsida, Malvales, Malvaceae. The record is from RefSeq and is a predicted model, not a curated record. The transcript has a single exon.